RNAcentral lists this non-coding RNA (27 nucleotides) under Mus musculus (house mouse). Lineage: Eukaryota; Metazoa; Chordata; Mammalia; Rodentia; Muridae. The record is from RNAcentral.
UAAAUAUAUUUCUCCCCAGUUCUUUAC